GAUUGAUGGUGCUUGCACCUGAUUGACGAUGGAUCACCAGUGAGUGGCGGACGGGUGAGUAACACGUAGGUAACCUGCCCCGGAGCGGGGGAUAACAUUUGGAAACAGAUGCUAAUACCGCAUAACAACAAAAGCCACAUGGCUUUUGUUUGAAAGAUGGCUUUGGCUAUCACUCUGGGAUGGACCUGCGGUGCAUUAGCUAGUUGGUAAGGUAACGGCUUACCAAGGCGAUGAUGCAUAGCCGAGUUGAGAGACUGAUCGGCCACAAUGGAACUGAGACACGGUCCAUACUCCUACGGGAGGCAGCAGUAGGGAAUCUUCCACAAUGGGCGCAAGCCUGAUGGAGCAACACCGCGUGAGUGAAGAAGGGUUUCGGCUCGUAAAGCUCUGUUGUUGGAGAAGAACGUGCGUGAGAGUAACUGUUCACGCAGUGACGGUAUCCAACCAGAAAGUCACGGCUAACUACGUGCCAGCAGCCGCGGUAAUACGUAGGUGGCAAGCGUUAUCCGGAUUUAUUGGGCGUAAAGCGAGCGCAGGCGGUUGCUUAGGUCUGAUGUGAAAGCCUUCGGCUUAACCGAAGAAGUGCAUCGGAAACCGGGCGACUUGAGUGCAGAAGAGGACAGUGGAACUCCAUGUGUAGCGGUGGAAUGCGUAGAUAUAUGGAAGAACACCAGUGGCGAAGGCGGCUGUCUGGUCUGCAACUGACGCUGAGGCUCGAAAGCAUGGGUAGCGAACAGGAUUAGAUACCCUGGUAGUCCAUGCCGUAAACGAUGAGUGCUAGGUGUUGGAGGGUUUCCGCCCUUCAGUGCCGGAGCUAACGCAUUAAGCACUCCGCCUGGGGAGUACGACCGCAAGGUUGAAACUCAAAGGAAUUGACGGGGGCCCGCACAAGCGGUGGAGCAUGUGGUUUAAUUCGAAGCUACGCGAAGAACCUUACCAGGUCUUGACAUCUUGCGCUAACCUUAGAGAUAAGGCGUUCCCUUCGGGGACGCAAUGACAGGUGGUGCAUGGUCGUCGUCAGCUCGUGUCGUGAGAUGUUGGGUUAAGUCCCGCAACGAGCGCAACCCUUGUUACUAGUUGCCAGCAUUAAGUUGGGCACUCUAGUGAGACUGCCGGUGACAAACCGGAGGAAGGUGGGGACGACGUCAGAUCAUCAUGCCCCUUAUGACCUGGGCUACACACGUGCUACAAUGGACGGUACAACGAGUCGCAAGCUCGCGAGAGUAAGCUAAUCUCUUAAAGCCGUUCUCAGUUCGGACUGUAGGCUGCAACUCGCCUACACGAAGUCGGAAUCGCUAGUAAUCGCGGAUCAGCAUGCCGCGGUGAAUACGUUCCCGGGCCUUGUACACACCGCCCGUCACACCAUGGGAGUUUGUAACGCCCAAAGUGCGG
RNAcentral lists this ribosomal RNA (1392 nucleotides) under Limosilactobacillus reuteri. RNAcentral describes it as "bacterial SSU rRNA". It matches the Rfam family "Bacterial small subunit ribosomal RNA", at positions 68 to 1431 of the family's 1533-position model. Lineage: Bacteria; Bacillati; Bacillota; Bacilli; Lactobacillales; Lactobacillaceae. The record is from RNAcentral.